GGGCAUAUGGUGUAGUGGUUAUCACUCCUGCUUUGCAUUUACAUUGUAAGCGGUCCAGGGUUCAACUCCCUGUGUGUCCA
Non-coding RNA from Favolaschia claudopus, 80 nucleotides. The record is from the annotation of a GenBank genome assembly. Lineage: Eukaryota; Fungi; Basidiomycota; Agaricomycetes; Agaricales; Mycenaceae.